AUUUAUUUAUUUAUUUAUUUUUGACCAAUUUCAAUGACAUGGGUUGUUAGUAUUUUAAACUGUUCAUUUGCUCUAAAAUCUACACUUUUUUAAGAAAUACUGUUAUGAAAGCAAAAGCAUUAUCAUGGUUUUGUAAUUAUCACAGGAAUCAGGAAUGCUGACAUAUUAUAUUGAGAAACUUUACUGGUCAAUUGUUUAUUGAAACCACUGGUGUAUAUCAGUAAUGUUUGUUAUCAUCUGUUAACUGAUAACUAAGUUUUGAAAAAUCUUCUAUUUGUUAUCUGAAAUUUUUUGGCUUGGAAACUGUCAUUGUUUUGAAACAAACUCCAAAG
This 332-nucleotide unclassified non-coding RNA is filed under the name Hevea brasiliensis (rubber tree). The record is from RNAcentral. Lineage: Eukaryota; Viridiplantae; Streptophyta; Magnoliopsida; Malpighiales; Euphorbiaceae.